Molecule: non-coding RNA, 423 nt
Organism: Nannospalax galili (Upper Galilee mountains blind mole rat)
Lineage: Eukaryota; Metazoa; Chordata; Mammalia; Rodentia; Spalacidae
Source: the annotation of a RefSeq genome assembly
AUGGAGUUAGGACUGAGCUGGGUUUUCUUUGCUGCUCUUUUACAAAGUGUUCUGUGUGAAGUGCAGCUGGUGGAGUUUGGGGGAGGCUUGGUGAAACCUGGAGGGUCCUUGAAACUCUCCUGCAUAGCCUCUGGAUUCACCAUCAAUGGCUAUGGCAUGAGUUGGGUCCGCCAGGCUCCAGGGAAGGGGCUGGAGUGGGUGGCAAGUACAGAGUAUGCUUUAAGUGAUCACGAAUUAGAGCUUGUGGAAAGCACAUAUUAUGCAGACUCUGUGAAAGGCCUAUUCACCAUCUUCAGAGACAAUGAGAAGAACACUGUGUCCCUGCAAAUGAGCAGUCUGAGAUCUGAGGACACGGCCAUGUAUUACUGUGUGAGACCCACAGUGAGGGGAAUUCAGUGUGGCCAUGCACAAAAUUCGCUUUGA